RNAcentral lists this ribosomal RNA (1373 nucleotides) under uncultured bacterium. RNAcentral's name for it is "partial 16S ribosomal RNA". It matches the Rfam family "Bacterial small subunit ribosomal RNA". The record is from RNAcentral.
AGAGUUUUUUCCUGGCUCAGGACGAACGCUGGCGGCGUGCCUAACACAUGCAAGUCGAACGGGACUUGCCCCUUCGGGGACAAGUUUAGUGGCGGACGGGUGAGUAACGCGUGAGCAACCUACCUUUCAGUGGGGGACAACAGUUGGAAACGACUGCUAAUACCGCAUAACACUUAUUUAGGGCAUCUUAAAUAAGUCAAAGAUUUAUUGCUGGAAGAUGGGCUCGCGUCUGAUUAGCUAGUUGGUGGGGUAACGGCCCACCAAGGCGACGAUCAGUAGCCGGACUGAGAGGUUGAACGGCCACAUUGGGACUGAGAUACGGCCCAGACUCCUACGGGAGGCAGCAGUGGGGAAUAUUGCACAAUGGGGGAAACCCUGAUGCAGCAACGCCGCGUGAGUGAAGAAGUAUUUCGGUAUGUAAAGCUCUAUCAGCAGGAAAGAAAAUGACGGUACCUGGCUAAGAAGCCCCGGCUAACUACGUGCCAGCAGCCGCGGUAAUACGUAGGGGGCAAGCGUUAUCCGGAUUUACUGGGUGUAAAGGGAGCGUAGACGGUUUUGCAAGUCUGAAGUGAAAGCCCGGGGCUUAACCCCGGGACUGCUUUGGAAACUGUAGGACUAGAGUGCAGGAGAGGUAAGUGGAAUUCCUAGUGUAGCGGUGAAAUGCGUAGAUAUUAGGAGGAACACCAGCGGCGAAGGCGGCUUACUGGACUGUAACUGACGUUGAGGCUCGAAAGCGUGGGGAGCAAACAGAAUUAGAUACCCUGGUAGUCCACGCCGUAAACGAUGAUUACUAGGUGUUGGUGGGUAUGACCCAUCGGUGCCGCAGCAAACGCAAUAAGUAAUCCACCUGGGGAGUACGUUCGCAAGAAUGAAACUCAAAGGAAUUGACGGGGACCCGCACAAGCGGUGGAGCAUGUGGUUUAAUUCGAUGAUACGCGAGGAACCUUACCCGGGCUCAAACGACGGGGGACUACCGGUGAAAGCCGGUAUCCAGCAAUGGCCGCCGUCGAGGUGCUGCAUGGUUGUCGUCAGCUCGUGCCGUGAGGUGUCGGCUUAAGUGCCAUAACGAGCGCAACCCCUAUCGACAGUUACUAACAAGUAGUGUUGAGGACUCUGUCGAGACUGCCAGCGCAAGCUGCGAGGAAGGCGGGGAUGACGUCAAAUCAGCACGGCCCUUACGUCCGGGGCGACACACGUGUUACAAUGGCAGGAACAGAAGGCAGCAACAUAGCAAUAUGAAGCCAAUCCCCAAACCCUGCCUCAGUUCGGAUUGGAGUCUGCAACCCGACUCCAUGAAGCUGGAUUCGCUAGUAAUCGCGCAUCAGCCACGGCGCGGUGAAUACGUUCCCGGGCCUUGCACACACCGCCCGUCA